This 253-nucleotide ribosomal RNA is filed under the name uncultured bacterium. Its description in RNAcentral is "partial 16S ribosomal RNA". It matches the Rfam family "Bacterial small subunit ribosomal RNA", at positions 524 to 776 of the family's 1533-position model. The record is from RNAcentral.
UACGUAGGGGGCAAGCGUUGUCCGGAAUCAUUGGGCGUAAAGAGCGUGUAGGCGGUCCGGUCAGUCGGUUGUGAAAGUCAAGGGCUCAACCCUUGAAUGCCGGCCGAUACUGCCGGGCUAGAGUCCGGAAGAGGUGAGUGGAAUUCCUGGUGUAGCGGUGAAAUGCGCAGAUAUCGGGAAGAACACCCGUGGCGAAGGCGGUUCUCUGGGACGGUACUGACGCUGAGACGCGAAAGCGUGGGGAGCGAACAGG